RNAcentral lists this ribosomal RNA (843 nucleotides) under uncultured Bacillota bacterium. Its description in RNAcentral is "bacterial SSU rRNA". It matches the Rfam family "Bacterial small subunit ribosomal RNA", at positions 58 to 936 of the family's 1533-position model. The record is from RNAcentral. Lineage: Bacteria; Bacillati; Bacillota.
CAAGUCGAACGAGAAAGUCCGCAAGGAUGAGUAAAGUGGCGUACGGGUGAGUAACACGUGGAUAAUCUACCCUCUAGUGGGGAAUACCGUUGGGAAACCGACGACAAUACCGCAUAAGCUCGAGAGAGGAAAGCAGCAAUGCGCUGGAGGAGGAGUCCGCGGCUGAUUAGCUAGUUGGUGAGGUAAUGGCUCACCAAGGCUCAGAUCAGUAGCCGGCCUGAGAGGGCACACGGCCACACUGGCACUGAAACACGGGCCAGACUCCUACGGGAGGCAGCAGUGGGGAAUCUUGCACAAUGGGGGAAACCCUGAUGCAGCGACGCCGCGUGAGCGAUGAAGCCCUUCGGGGUGUAAAGCUCUUUCGGCAGGGAAGAUGAUGACGGUACCUGCAGAAGCAGCUGCGGCUAACUACGUGCCAGCAGCCGCGGUAAUACGUAGGCAGCAAGCGUUGUUCGGAGUUACUGGGCGUAAAGGGUGUGUAGGCGGUUGGAUAAGUGUGGUGUGAAAUCUCCCGGCUCAACUGGGAGGGUGCGCUACAAACUGUCUGACUAGAGUGUGGGAUGGGAAAGUGGAAUUCCUGGUGUAGCGGUGAAAUGCGUAGAUAUCAGGAGGAACACCGGUGGUGUAGACGGCUUUCUGGACCAUAACUGACGCUGAGACACGAAAGCGUGGGUAGCAAACAGGAUUAGAUACCCUGGUAGUCCACGCCCUAAACGAUGCAUAUUUGGUGUGGGUCAUUCAUUUGAUCCGUGCCGGAGCUAACGCGUUAAAUAUGCCGCCUGGGGAGUACAGUCGCAAGGCUGAAACUCAAAGGAAUUGACGGGGGCCCGCACAAGCGGUGGA